Molecule: long non-coding RNA, 2671 nt
Filed under: Paramuricea clavata
Lineage: Eukaryota; Metazoa; Cnidaria; Anthozoa; Malacalcyonacea; Plexauridae
Source: RNAcentral
AAUUGCCGUUUGAAACGAAACGAUCUGGACUCUGAACGCUCUCUUCUUUUGUAGAGUUCUCACCAAAUGAAAUAACUGAAGUAAAUUUCGUACUUUCCGCCGCCAACAAGAAUUGCACACACGAUCUGAUAAGUGAGACAAUUUAUUUAUAACAAUGGCGACAGCGAAGCAACAUUGUAAAUGCUGAUGUGGUCGCACGACUUCCCUCACGAUUUGAAGUUUGAGACUGGUUUUCUGUUGAAAUUCGUCUUAAUUUGCCUGUUCCGAUUUUAGUUGAAAAUGAGCACUUGUAAAUUUGGCAAUUACUGACUGCGUUGCUUGUUUUUUUGGAGUUUUAACACAGGCAUUUACACAUUGUUUCUAUAUUUUGAAUAUUAAAGCAGAGAAAACCCCGCAACAUUUUAAUGCGUGUUUGUUUGUUAAUAUUUGGGUUGCUGUCAUUGGUUCUUUUUUGACAAUUGACGCGCGAAUGGGGCGUGUUAUGAAAAGGGGCGUUUUACAAAAUACCGGGCCUUGCUUGCAGGCCCACUAUCAGUUCCCUUGGGCCUGCACGCGGGCUAUCGAAUUUUAAGCUUAUCGAGAGCCUUUGUCUAUGCCUUUGUGAUGAAUCACUGACCUAAUUAUAGAAUCCAACAGCAAACAGCCAAUCAGAAUGCCGCGUUCGUGGGCGAACGCGGAAAGUACAAAAUACCGGGCCUUGCUUGCAGGCCCACUAUCAAGUUCCCUUUCAGCCUGCUCCCUUGGGCCUGCACGCGGGCUACAGUAAAUCACUGAAUCAAUUCUGCAUGUAUGCUGAUAAUACUUUACUGAUUAAGCCGGUUUUCCACUAGGCGGAAUUUUGCGCGCGGAGCGGACGUUUUCUUUGUCUUGUGAUUUCUCGGGUGGAACUAAUUAGAAAAGACAAAGAAAGAUUCCGCUCCGCGCGCAAAAUUCCGCCUGGUGGAAAACCGGCUUAAAGGCGACUUUUUGCGACCACUUUCUUUUGAAAUACAAGCAAUCAAGCGCAACGGAUGAGGUUGACUGCACGCAUUUGAAAAGAAAGUGAUCGCAAAAAGUCGAUCGCGCGACUUUUUCCACUGAAUGGAAAUCCACCUUGAAGCCCGUUUUCCACUGGGCGGAAUUUUGCACGCGGAGCGGAAUUUCUCUCUGUCUUUUCUAGCCUGCAUAACAGGCGCUAUUUAGGGGGGAGGGCGAGGGUGGGAAAAGUUAGGGGGGGGGGAAUGCGAAGGCGAGAGAAAGAGAGCGAGGAAAAAUGGAAGGGGCGAGAAAGAAAUAGCUGUCUUUUCAGUCUAAUUAGUUUCCACCCACUGAUCUGAAAUUAGACUGGAUAACGCAUCAAUAUGAUCUAUACUAUAGUAUACAAAAAUGAAGCCGGAAAUCACCGGCCGCCACCCGAUUCUGUGGUCCCACUUUUGUAUAGAUUUGUAUUACAGAUGGUAGUUUUUCGCGUUUUUUGCCUUGGCUAUGUUUCUGACCGGGCCAGUUUUACAAUAACAAAGAUAGAAGCACACAAGAAGAAAUUUGAGCAAAAAAUGUGGAGUAUUAUGGCUUUAUAACGCCGCGAAACGGAAUUUACAAUUUUGAAGGAGUGGUCGUUUUGCGAGUACUUUCAUACAAAAUCAACUCAAAAUAUACAAGCAAUACAAUUCAUGCAGUAGGACAGUUGCCGUAUAAUUUGAGGUUGUGGGAAAGAAUAUAUAUGAUGGUCAACAGAAUCAAAUGCCUUUCCAAAAUCUAGGACUAAAUAAAGAAUGUCGGUUUGGAUGUUCUUGUCGAUAAAUUGCACCAUGACAUAGCAACUAUAGCAGACCAAUAUAGCAUAGUCUCCCGAAAAGGUAGCGUUGCAUCAUUAUAUGUAUUUAUUAUAUAAAGUAUAGUGCUUUAGGGACGGACCAUUAGAUAUUUGAGGGGGUGGUUGCAGCUUUUUUCCUUGCAGGAAUUUUUUUUGGACACACAUGUUGUGCACGCUUUUUUUUCGUUUAAUAGUCAAACGCUUGCAAGAAUUUUUUUUAUUUGUAGUUUUUAAUAGGGGCAGCUUACAAUAUCUUUGAAAGAAAAUUUGAUAGUGUACAUGUAAACAGGCCCUUUCGACAGUGACUGCUCCGUUUCCGGCCAGUGGCGUAGCCAGACCUUCAUUUUUGGGUGGGCGAAGCUCACGCCGUAGGCGUGAGAAAUCUAGAAAUCUAGAGUACCUGAAAUGCUAUUUCAAGCGUUUUGGGGGGUGAAAUCUAGCCGAAUUCCGAAGAUUAUAAAGUACAUCGAAGACAUGAAUUUUCCCAGACAUUUCUACUCGGAAUUAAAUAAAUUGGAAAGUCACCUUGAAAAACAGGAGGGGUCAGUGUCACCUUAUUUGUCCUCUGUGAUGCUGUGGGAAGCAUGUGAUUUUGAUCAGAAAUGUUGCAUUUAAAUCAUUCUAGGUUCCAUGAGACACCAUUUCCGCAUUCUCAAAAUUGCGUUGCUUUUUAUAUGAUACAGGAUAAGUCUGAGAAGAAAUAUUCAUGCUAUGAUAUAAUGCAUACAUGUAUUUAAUUAACAGUUAAAAAUCUAAACUAAAUCUAUUCUUCUUGGAACUAUAUCUACAAGGCUACAAAUGCUUUAACGAGAUUUUACAAAUCAAGUUCCUCAAGUAUUAAUCAGUUUCAGCUUCGAGCAUGUAACGUGUAACCUCCCC